This 301-nucleotide ribosomal RNA is filed under the name uncultured bacterium. Its description in RNAcentral is "partial 16S ribosomal RNA". It matches the Rfam family "Bacterial small subunit ribosomal RNA", at positions 509 to 807 of the family's 1533-position model. The record is from RNAcentral.
CAGUAGCCGCGGUAAUACGAAGGGUGCAAGCGUUAAUCGGAAUUGCUGGGCGUAAAGCGUGCGUAGGCGGUUUGUUAAGUCUGUUGUGAAAUCCCCGGGCUCAACCUGGGAAUGGCAAUGGAUACUGGCAAGCUAGAGUGUGUCAGAGGAUGGUGGAAUUCCCGGUGUAGCGGUGAAAUGCGUAGAGAUCGAGAGGAACAUCAGUGGCGAAGGCGGCCAUCUGGGACAACACUGACGCUGAGGCACGAAAGCGUGGGGAGCAAACAGGAUUAGAUACCCCAGUAGUCCCUGUCUCUUAUAC